Molecule: non-coding RNA, 345 nt
Organism: Vicia faba (fava bean)
Lineage: Eukaryota; Viridiplantae; Streptophyta; Magnoliopsida; Fabales; Fabaceae
Source: the annotation of a GenBank genome assembly
AUGUGGUCCUGCUCCUGCAAUAGUGGUCUUCUAUCCCGUGUUGUAAAUUUAUUAAACCAUAUAAUUUGGAAUAGUCUCCAGUCAAUGAAGAGAUUCACACACCUACUUCUCGUUUCACGCGCUGCCUUAUUACUCUUUCAGUCUUAUUAUAAAUCUCAUCAUAACACAAAGUCCUCUCUUGACUUCUCUCUCUCUCUCUCUCACAAUUCUUCUCCAUCUUUUCUAUUUCCUCUUCUCAACCUUGUUCCUCUGCUUCAUUUCAUCCAAUUUCUAAAGGUUUGUUUGUUUCACAAAAUUUACACUUUCUUUUUAUGUUAUUUUCUUAACGUUUUCUUAGCCUUAUGA